UGGUACAGCCAUGCCUAGCCUCC
This 23-nucleotide non-coding RNA is filed under the name Mus musculus (house mouse). The record is from RNAcentral. Lineage: Eukaryota; Metazoa; Chordata; Mammalia; Rodentia; Muridae.